AUUGAACGCUGGCGGCAGGCCUAACACAUGCAAGUCGAACGGUAACAGGAAGAAGCUUGCUUCUUUGCUGACGAGUGGCGGACGGGUGAGUAAUGUCUGGGAAACUGCCUGAUGGAGGGGGAUAAUUACUGGAAACGGUAGCUAAUACCGCAUAACGUCGCAAGACCAAAGAGGGGUACCUUCGGGCCUCUUGCCAUCGGAUGUGCCCAGAUGGGAUUAGCUAGUAGGUGGGGUAACGGCUCACCUAGGCGACGAUCCCUAGCUGGUCUGAGAGGAUGACCAGCCACACUGGAACUGAGACACGGUCCAGACUCCUACGGGAGGCAGCAGUGGGGAAUAUUGCACAAUGGGCGCAAGCCUGAUGCAGCCAUGCCGCGUGUAUGAAGAAGGCCUUCGGGUUGUAAAGUACUUUCAGCGGGGAGGAAGGGAGUAAAGUUAAUACCUUUGCUCAUUGACGUUACCCGCAGAAGAAGCACCGGCUAACUCCGUG
RNAcentral lists this ribosomal RNA (490 nucleotides) under uncultured bacterium. RNAcentral's name for it is "partial 16S ribosomal RNA". It matches the Rfam family "Bacterial small subunit ribosomal RNA", at positions 30 to 507 of the family's 1533-position model. The record is from RNAcentral.